CGGGACGGGUGAGUAAUGUCUGGGAAACUGCCUGAUGGAGGGGGAUAACUGCUGGAAACGGUAGCUAAUACCGCAUAACGUCGCAAGACCAAAGAGGGGGACCUUCGGGCCUCUUGCCAUCGGAUGUGCCCAGAUGGGAUUAGCUAGUAGGUGGGGUAACGGCUCACCUAGGCGACGAUCCCUAGCUGGUCUGAGAGGAUGACCAGCCACACUGGAACUGAGACACGGUCCAG
This 233-nucleotide ribosomal RNA is filed under the name uncultured bacterium. RNAcentral's name for it is "partial 16S ribosomal RNA". It matches the Rfam family "Bacterial small subunit ribosomal RNA", at positions 100 to 334 of the family's 1533-position model. The record is from RNAcentral.